Aplysia californica (California sea hare) is the source of this 291-nucleotide long non-coding RNA. RefSeq lists it as uncharacterized. Lineage: Eukaryota; Metazoa; Mollusca; Gastropoda; Aplysiida; Aplysiidae. The record is from RefSeq and is a predicted model, not a curated record. The transcript has 2 exons.
GAACUUUUCGAGAAAAGACUGUUUUUGUUCACAGAGUGGAAAAUGCAACACCUGCUCUGGUGGCAAGUGCUCCCCCAUGGGAUACAAGGCAACCAAAAACCCGCACGCCACCAACUCGCACCAGAUCAAAUACUACACCACCACCGCCGCGGCUGCUCCUUUCUGUGAAUAUCACAUGGACGUCGCCGUAACAGUUGCAAGAUCUUCAGCAACCCAGCAUGAGAAAGGAAAUUUCUUCCUCAAAGUUGCCGGCGAAAAUAUGACCACGCCCUUUAUCCAGUUAAAUGAGAA